CCGGUCCUCCUCCUCCUCCUCCUCACCGCCACCUCCCGGGGGAGGAGGAGGGAGGGACGGAGGGAGCCCCGAGGACCGUCCGUGUCACGAGUCAUGUGCCAGCCCCUCUGACGUCAAUGGCAGCGGGAGCUGAAGCAGGAGCGCGAGCAAGAGCCGGAGGCGGCAGGGGCAGCUGUGGCGGCAGCAGGGACGGCUGCAGCCGCAACAGCAGCCCCAGUCUUGGAAUCAACGGAGGCCAGGAAGAGGCAAGGCCGCCCGCGAACCCGGCUUGCCCGAGAUGCGGGCAGCAGCCGCGGACCGGGGAGGCUUAGGAGGCAGGGACAGGGCAGGACUGGACAAAGGAUUGAGAUGAAAGGACGAGACCCGGAGGAGAGCAGGGAAACCUGGCUGCAGAGCCGCGAUUGAGCGGGGAAGUGCCGAUUGGGCUCUGCGCCCUCCGGCUCCGGGAGGUUGGAGCUCGGAGCUCGGUGGAAGGAGGCGGAGGGGCGGGCUUCCUGUUGCCGGCUCCUGCUUGCCUGCCGCAGGAGAAGGGGAAGGGGGCUGGCUGGGCUCUGCGCCCCUGAUUGAAAAGCCGCCGCCGCAGUGAUGGGAAAUGUCAGGCUGGAAGCUGGAUCGAUACAGGAGGAAAUGGCAAACAAUACCUGGCAAAGGUGGAGACCUGAGAUGUGGCUACAAUAGAGAAGAACAGGAAGGGAAAAGUGGAGCCAAUUGUCUAAGCUGUGACAGCUAGGGACAGCUAAUUUGGGUAAUUAGGGUCAUAAAAAGAUCUUUCCUCCGACAUAUCCAGCUUAUUACUUCAACAUUCCACCUUAUUUUGCUGUAAAGACAACCAACGUCCCUCAACAUUUCUAAUGUCUAGAACCUCACCAAAAAAACCCUAAGGGAGAUAACGUGUGUAUUAGCCAGCUUUUUCUGUCCUUUCUGCAGUUUAAUGCCCAGGGUCACGUUAAAAAGCACUUCUAUAGAGACAUCAAUGUGGGUCUUAGGGUUUUGGUUUAAAUGAUAUAUAUGGUCCCUCUUGUCUCAAGUCAUAAGAUCUUAAGUACAGAUGGGUGAAUUUUGUUGGUGUAAAUAUAGAAUCCACAAACUUACUCUUCCUGAUUCUGAGCCAAAUUCUGUGAAAUUCAAUUCAAUAAGCAUUUAUUAAGUGCUUUCUGUGUGUUAGACAUUGACAGUUCAAAGACAUUGUGUUAUAUUUUGUCCUUGGCCUAGACUUGCAUUAAAAAAAAAAAAAAGUUAUACUCGUUUUAUGUCUCCUCACUGAAUUCUCCUUUGUGACAAAGAAAAACAAGCAAAGGCACUUGAUACAGUGACCACAUUUGACAAUGUAUGAUAUUCUGUCCUAUUAGUCCCCCACCUCUGCUUUGCUGGGGAAGGUAUGUUUCAUUAUUUGUUCUCUAAGACCUUUGUUAUUGUUUUUCAGUAACCUACUCAGUGUGUCUUCAUUUUAGUAAUCUUUUUAAUUUAUAAUGUUCCUAGCCUCAAGAAUCUUAUUUUCUCCUGAAGAAUAUAACAUUUAAGGAAGGCUAAGCUAAACCCAUAACCAAAAAGACCCAGUGUAUGAGCCAUUCACCUAUAGAAUGGAAGUAGAGUGAAGUGAAAAUGGAUCAUUGUGUCAAAUUCUAAAUAAACUCACAUAUGAGGCCAUCUGAGGAAUAGAUUGGGACUCAAGAAUUCUCUGGAGAAGAUAGGUAAUUAGUUUGGAAAACAGAAUGCUUGGCAUUCCAACUUGAAAUUCAGAACACCAUCUCCAGAACAUCCUGGAGAAAAUAGCCAAGCAAAAGUCCAGAGUUCCCCAUCUCAGAAUCAAAAUAAAAAGAUGAACCUCAAUAAUUGUUUCCAAAACCCUUAAAUCUUUUGAGGGAUGUUGUUCAUAAAGUAUUCCUAAAAAUGUAUAAAGUGUUAGAGCUGGAAGAUUACAGAAUUCAAAACCAGAGGAACUGGAAUCAACUUCUAGCUUUGCCAUUUACUACCUCUAUAACUUUGAUCAAGUCAGUUAGCUUUCCUGGGUCACAGUUUUCUUACCUACAAAAUAAAGCAUUUGGGCAAGAUGA
Long non-coding RNA from Antechinus flavipes (yellow-footed antechinus), 2054 nucleotides. RefSeq lists it as uncharacterized. NCBI's taxonomy places the organism in Eukaryota, Metazoa, Chordata, Mammalia, Dasyuromorphia, Dasyuridae. The transcript is spliced from 3 exons. The record is from RefSeq and is a predicted model, not a curated record.